RNAcentral lists this transfer RNA (84 nucleotides) under Candidatus Acidifodinimicrobium mancum. RNAcentral describes it as "tRNA-Leu". It matches the Rfam family "tRNA". From Rfam's summary of the family: Transfer RNA (tRNA) molecules are approximately 80 nucleotides in length. Their secondary structure includes four short double-helical elements and three loops (D, anti-codon, and T loops). Lineage: Archaea; Nanobdellati; Candidatus Parvarchaeota; Candidatus Acidifodinimicrobiaceae. The record is from RNAcentral.
GCAGGGGUAGCGAAGCGGUCCAACGCGCAGGACUUAAGAUCCUGUGGCCUAGCGCCCUCGUGGGUUCAAAUCCCACCCCCUGCA